ACUCCUACGGGAGGCAGCAGUGGGGAAUAUUGCACAAUGGGCGCAAGCCUGAUGCAGCCAUGCCGCGUGUAUGAAGAAGGCCUUCGGGUUGUAAAGUACUUUCAGCAGUGAGGAAGGUGGGUAUGUUAAUAGCAUAUUCAUUUGACGUUAGCUGCAGAAGAAGCACCGGCUAACUCCGUGCCAGCAGCCGCGGUAAUACGGAGGGUGCGAGCGUUAAUCGGAAUUACUGGGCGUAAAGCGCAUGCAGGUGGUUUGUUAAGUCAGAUGUGAAAGCCCGGGGCUCAACCUCGGGAAUUGCAUUUGAAACUGGCAAACUAGAGUACUGUAGAGGGGGGUAGAAUUUCAGGUGUAGCGGUGAAAUGCGUAGAGAUCUGAAGGAAUACCGGUGGCGAAGGCGGCCCCCUGGACAGAUACUGACACUCAGAUGCGAAAGCGUGGGGAGCAAACAGGAUUAGAUACCCCCGGGUAGGCUCU
This 474-nucleotide ribosomal RNA is filed under the name uncultured bacterium. RNAcentral describes it as "bacterial SSU rRNA". It matches the Rfam family "Bacterial small subunit ribosomal RNA", at positions 335 to 797 of the family's 1533-position model. The record is from RNAcentral.